UACGGAGGAUGCGAGCGUUAUCCGGAUUUAUUGGGUUUAAAGGGUGCGUAGGCGGGAUGCCAAGUCAGCGGUAAAAAUGCGGUGCUCAACGCCGUCGUGCCGUUGAAACUGGCGUUCUUGAGUGGGCGAGAAGUAUGCGGAAUGCGUGGUGUAGCGGUGAAAUGCAUAGAUAUCACGCAGAACUCCGAUUGCGAAGGCAGCAUACCGGCGCCCUACUGACGCUGAGGCACGAAAGCGUGGGUAUCGAACAGG
RNAcentral lists this ribosomal RNA (252 nucleotides) under uncultured bacterium. RNAcentral describes it as "partial 16S ribosomal RNA". It matches the Rfam family "Bacterial small subunit ribosomal RNA", at positions 524 to 776 of the family's 1533-position model. The record is from RNAcentral.